GGAAAACACUCAGAUCUAACAGUCCAUUUCACCUGGGAAAGGUACGUGACAUUUCAAUCUUACAAAAUGGUGCUAACUGGGCGUAGGCAAGUCAAAUUCAAAAACAUAUUGUUCAUAUAAUGUAUUAUACGAUUCGUAUAUCGUGGUUAUUUUACCAUUUGUAAAAAUGUAAUGUAUCAUAGUUCUAAAUCGUUUUUCAUAAUAUCAGAACAUUUGUUGUUUUCAAAAUUACAAUGGGCUCCUGCUUCCUGUGUAAUUUGGUAUGAAACCACUGAACAUACUUUUCUUAACAUUUAUAUUAUGAACUGAAUUCAGUUAUAGCAUAAUAAUAACAUACCUGUUGAACAAAGCAACACACUAGAAUGAGAGAAAUUAUUAAAAGAGAAAGUGAGACAUUAUUAUUAUGAAUAAUUGGUAUUAUUAUUGUUAUUAAUUAAAUCACCUGACUGUUUGGAUAUAUCUGUUAGUAAAUGCUUUAUUUGUAAGAGAUAAUUAAUAAUCUAGAACAAUUGACCUUCAAGAACUGUGUUGACCACAAUCAACAUGUCGGAUCUCUGUUUAGGGGUUUGUGCUCUAAAAUGAGUCUCUCUGGGGAGAAAGAGGAGGACGGCCCUGCCUCUAAAAGGAUUGUCUUUGGGGAACAUGGCACCAAAUCUAAGAGGGGUUUGUGCUCUAAAAUGAGUCUCUCUGGGGAGAAAGAGGAGGACGGCCCUGCCUCUAAAAGGAUUGUCUUUGGGGAACAUGGCACCAAAUCUAAGAGGUGAGAGGACAAUUUUCUAAAGAUUUUAUGAAGAGUUUAUAUCCAAAACACUAUAUCCACCAUCUUUUCACAUUUGUGUUUUUUCAUCAGAAAUAAAGGCUUAUGGGUGUGUAAAAUA
Long non-coding RNA from Oncorhynchus kisutch (coho salmon), 878 nucleotides. RefSeq lists it as uncharacterized. The transcript is spliced from 2 exons. Lineage: Eukaryota; Metazoa; Chordata; Actinopteri; Salmoniformes; Salmonidae. The record is from RefSeq and is a predicted model, not a curated record.